This 428-nucleotide ribosomal RNA is filed under the name uncultured bacterium. Its description in RNAcentral is "partial 16S ribosomal RNA". It matches the Rfam family "Bacterial small subunit ribosomal RNA", at positions 354 to 796 of the family's 1533-position model. The record is from RNAcentral.
GUAGGGAAUAUUGCGCAAUGGACGAAAGUCUGACGCAGCGACGCCGCGUGAGUGAUGAAGGCCUUAGGGUCGUAAAGCUCUGUUGAAUGGGAAGAAAAAAAUGACGGUACCAUUCGAGGAAGGACCGGCUAACUUCGUGCCAGCAGCCGCGGUAAUACUAGGGGUCCUAGCGUUGUUCGGAAUCAUUGGGCGUAAAGGGUGUGUAGGUGGCCAUGUAAGUCAGGUGUGAAAGCCCCGGGCUCAACCCGGGAAGUGCAAUUGAUACUGCGUGGCUUGAGUACCGAAGAGGGUAGUGGAAUUCCAGGUGUAGUGGUGAAAUACGUAGAUAUCUGGAGGAACACCGGUGGCGAAGGCGGCUACCAGGUCGAGUACUGACACUGAGACACGAAAGCAUGGGGAUCAAACAGGAUUAGAUACCCCGGUAGUCC